AAUUCGUCCCAAAAUGAAAUAGAACUCUAGUAUACUACCUCUACCUCUCUCAGUAUCUUCUCUCUGUCACUCCCUCACUCUUUCGGUAUAUCUCAUCUCAGUAUCUUCAAUCUCUCGCUCACCUCACCUGAUUCUCGCUCAACCUUCAUCUCACUUUCUCCACUCUUUCUCUCUAAUUAAAGGCGAUUAGGGCUCUUUCUUGAGGCUCGAAGUUGGGGCUUUGACUUGGGAUUUGAGUUAGGAUUUUUAAUUAAGGCAGAUUGAGAUUGAUAGUAAAUUUCUAGAAGCACUGAACAUCAAGGACUACAGUCAUCUACUUGGUGUGCAUUAUCGAGCUGCCCAGCAUUUGCGAUCUCUUAUGUCUUAUAAUCAAAGUCUGGCAGACGGACUUGGAGUAGUUGCGGAAGAAGGUGGGAUGCCCAUUUGAAUAACCAAUUUAUGAUUUAAAGAUUCCUAAAUCUUCAGUUACAGGGUAGGUUAUACAUAAGUAAACUGGUUUCUAUUACACUGCCACAUUUUUCAUAACUUUAUUAAUAAAUUUCUGAGUGUUAGACUCCUUCUGCAGAGUAUCAUUAACUUGGAUGCAUAUAAAUGAAUGGAAUUUAUCACGGUAUCAUAAUUUAGACAGCUAGUAUCUGUAUCAUAAUUGAAAGUCUUGACACUAUUGUGUUUUUCGUAGAGCAACCAACUUAUGGUCACCUUGGAGAUGGCAAUCUUGAUCUUAAUAUAUCAAUCCCACAAUACGACAAUAUCGUAACAUCCUUAUUCCUGAUUUAAGAGUUCAGUCGUGUAUCUAGGGAUGCUAUUUUUUUUAACAAUUACCACAUUUUACAAAUUUUAGCACAAAUUGAGCCCUUUGUUUAUGAAUGGACAUCAAAGCACCAUGAGAGUAUCAGUGCAAAGCAUGGAUUGGGGUUUACAAAAGCUGUUAAGAUAUACUACAACAAGUCACUCAAAACUGUUUGGCAACACAAUACAUGGAUUGGUGGAAUUCAUGAUGUUGGGCUGGCAGAUGAUCGAUCCUAAUGGUGUAACUUUGUCAAGUGAAACCAAAGACAUAGUAGAUGCAACUUUCAUGUAUAGUGUAAUUAUGAACUACAAGAGUUGUUUGAUGUGUAAUUUUUGUAAUAAACUAUUUAAAUAUUUUAAAGUAGGACAACACUUUGCGGUGUGCUUGUUUUUAUUGUAUUUUUAGUAGGGUUAAAUAUGCAUUUGUUCCGUGUGUAUUAAUGGAUUGAAUAUCUGGUAGUGAAAUAAAUAAAAUGUGUUCUUAUA
Daucus carota subsp. sativus is the source of this 1275-nucleotide long non-coding RNA. RefSeq lists it as uncharacterized. The record is from RefSeq and is a predicted model, not a curated record. The transcript is spliced from 4 exons. Lineage: Eukaryota; Viridiplantae; Streptophyta; Magnoliopsida; Apiales; Apiaceae.